This 254-nucleotide ribosomal RNA is filed under the name uncultured bacterium. Its description in RNAcentral is "partial 16S ribosomal RNA". It matches the Rfam family "Bacterial small subunit ribosomal RNA", at positions 524 to 776 of the family's 1533-position model. The record is from RNAcentral.
CACGUAGGGUGCGAGCGUUGUCCGGAAUUAUUGGGCGUAAAGAGCUCGUAGGCGGUGUGUCGCGUCGGCCGUGAAAACCUGCAGCUUAACUGUGGGCGUGCGGUCGAUACGGGCAUCACUGGAGUUCGGCAGGGGAGACUGGAAUUCCUGGUGUAGCGGUGAAAUGCGCAGAUAUCAGGAGGAACACCGGUGGCGAAGGCGGGUCUCUGGACCGAGACUGACGCUGAGGCGCGAAAGCGUGGGGAGCAAACAGG